This 83-nucleotide transfer RNA is filed under the name Tilletia horrida. RNAcentral's name for it is "tRNA-Ala". It matches the Rfam family "tRNA". From Rfam's summary of the family: Transfer RNA (tRNA) molecules are approximately 80 nucleotides in length. Their secondary structure includes four short double-helical elements and three loops (D, anti-codon, and T loops). Lineage: Eukaryota; Fungi; Basidiomycota; Exobasidiomycetes; Tilletiales; Tilletiaceae. The record is from RNAcentral.
GGGGUCGUAGCGCAGGGGUAGCGCGCUUCCUUCGCAUCCAGUCGAUCAGGAAGAGGUCGUGGGUUCAAUUCCCACCGUCUCCA